UACCCCUAGCAAAUCUCAAAAAACCGUCUCAGUUCGGAUUGGAGUCUGCAACUCGACUCCAUGAAGUUGGAAUCGCUAGUAAUCGCAGAUCAGCAUGCUGCGGUGAAUACGUUCCCGGGCCUUGUACACGCCGCCCGUCACACCAUGGGAGUUGGCUUUACCUGAAGGCGGUGCGCUAACCAGCAAUGGAGGCAGCCGACCACGGUAGGGUCAGCGACUGGGGUGAAG
This 228-nucleotide ribosomal RNA is filed under the name uncultured Nitrobacter sp. Its description in RNAcentral is "partial 16S ribosomal RNA". It matches the Rfam family "Bacterial small subunit ribosomal RNA", at positions 1259 to 1485 of the family's 1533-position model. The record is from RNAcentral. Lineage: Bacteria; Pseudomonadati; Pseudomonadota; Alphaproteobacteria; Hyphomicrobiales; Nitrobacteraceae.